AAGGAAUAUUGCUCAAUGGGAGAAAUCCUGAAGCAGCAACGCCGCGUGGAGGAUGAAGGGUCUAUGACUUGUAAACUCCUGUAAAGAAGGAAAAAAUUCCCAUUUGAUGGGAGAUGAUGGUACUUCUGGAGUAAGCCCCGGCUAACUACGUGCCAGCAGCCGCGGUAAUACGUAGGGGGCAAGCGUUGUCCGGAUUUACUGGGUGUAAAGGGUGCUCAGGCGGAUUUGUAAGUCAGAGGUGAAAUCUUACAGCUUAACUGUGAAACUGCCUUUGAUACUGCAAGCCUAGAGUAUGGAAGAGAGUGAUGGAAUAUCUGGUGUAGCAGUGAAAUGCGUAGAUAUCGGACAGAACACCAAUGGCGAAGGCAGUCACUUGGUCCAUUACUGACGCUAAAGCACGAAAGCGUGGGUAGCAAACA
Molecule: ribosomal RNA, 419 nt
Filed under: uncultured bacterium
Lineage: Bacteria
Description: bacterial SSU rRNA
Rfam family: Bacterial small subunit ribosomal RNA
Source: RNAcentral